Molecule: long non-coding RNA, 224 nt
Filed under: Capsicum annuum
Lineage: Eukaryota; Viridiplantae; Streptophyta; Magnoliopsida; Solanales; Solanaceae
Description: long non-coding RNA (CANN_LNC017210)
Source: RNAcentral
GUCAGAGUUCAUCUAAAGCAUCUAAUUUUGGUAUUUAGGGUUUUAAAGAAAGGUAACCCUUUCACCCUUGUGCCCAAAAAACUUAUCAAUAUCAUGAAUUUCCUGAAAUCUAUGAGGUUUUUACAAAAAUUUGAAUUGGGGUUUUUCACCCAUUAUUAUUGAAUGCAUUAUCUUGAUAUGUCCCAUGAAUUAAGAGUCUAAUGGCAUGAUUUUUGCAUGUUUUA